CAGUAGCCACGGGAAAACAGAGGGCGCGAGCGUUACCCGGAUUUACUGGGCGUAAAGGGCGUGUAGGCGGCCUGGGGCGUCCCAUGUGAAAGGCCACGGCUCAACCGUGGAGGAGCGUGGGAUACGCUCAGGCUAGAGGGUGGGAGAGGGUGGUGGAAUUCCCGGAGUAGCGGUGAAAUGCGCAGAUACCGGGAGGAACGCCGAUGGCGAAGCAGCCACCUGGUCCACUUCUGACGCUGAGGCGCGAAAGCGUGGGGAGCAAACCGGAUUAGAUACCCGCGUAGUCCCUGUCUCUUAUACA
Molecule: ribosomal RNA, 301 nt
Filed under: uncultured bacterium
Lineage: Bacteria
Description: partial 16S ribosomal RNA
Rfam family: Bacterial small subunit ribosomal RNA
Source: RNAcentral